Molecule: long non-coding RNA, 9406 nt
Organism: Gasterosteus aculeatus aculeatus (three-spined stickleback)
Lineage: Eukaryota; Metazoa; Chordata; Actinopteri; Perciformes; Gasterosteidae
Source: Ensembl
UUCGGCACUUCAAUCAAAACCACAUCAGGCAGCAGCAGGAUACAAACGUCCAGACCUCAGACUUCAUCAGAGACCACUUUCAGGUCUCUGCCAGGUGAAAGCUUCUCUCAGAGGUCUGAGCCCUGCACGUCCCACAGAGGUUUCAUCUAAGAGUUCUGCCCUUCGGAUUGUUCACAUUUCAGUUUUAAAACGUGUAUUUUUCUCUUCACACAAAAUAUCAGCGUAAAAAAGGGGAAAUGAAACAGUUAUAAUAAUGCUGUUUUAGCCGCUGCAGGCCAAAACACAAGAUAUAUGUUUAUAUAUUGUUCUUAUUGCCAACAUUACCUUGAAAGAACUGAAACAAAUGAUGCUCUUGGGACUUUCCUUCCAUACCUGCUCUUCUCACAGCCCGACAAACAUUCGCUGAUGUAAAUCUUUCAUAAAGGCCGACGCCUCUGCUGUGUUACAUUAUACAAGAGAAAAUGACGUUAUCUCUAUAUGAACUUAUUACUUCAGUAAACAUGAGCGUAUGGUCUCAAUCUUUGGUGUCAUUGCUUCUUCAAUACAGCAUGUGGUUCAUUUAGAAAACCUCAGUCUAUAAAGCAAGUAUGCUUUAUGGCGCAAACACUUUUCAGAGACAAAUAUAUGUUGGGACUAUUUUUUGAGCACUUGAGCACCAUAGAGAGUCAAGAGGAACAUGCAUGAAGUCGGUGUCAGGUUACACGCAGAAGUCGAGUCACUGUGACGAUCUGUCCAUCUGUGGUCGUGUGCAGAAAGUAACCGUGACAAAGACAUUCACGCCAACCGAUGAACGCAGGUUACUACGAGAAACGCCAAAUACGCCAACGACCCCGACAUUUUGAUUUUAAUUAAAUAUUUAAAGUUUGAUCCCUUUUCUCGGCGUCUGGGACGAAACGCUACUUCAGUUGCCGAGAUGUGAAUGCUUACAAAAGAAGGUUGUGUGUGCAUCAUCUGCGCAGGACCCCGUCCUUCUCGGCCUGGUUGUGUUCAGCAGAUGGAGACGGACAGAAGUGAGGCGUCCAGCAGCGUGUUUGCAGGAUUAACGAUGAGCCCCGCUGAUCCCUCGUCAGUGAUCAGAGGCUUCAGGCCGGUGUCAGCCUGCUGCAUCCGUAAAUCAAUGAUCCUUUCAGACCCGAGCAACGAAGCUUCAGGUGGAGACUUCGCUGUCUAAAUCCUGUCCGAGUGACACACUUUAAGAGGAAAAAAAAAGAGCCCUCUGUAAACCCAGCUGGGGCGCAAGUGGCGGCAGCGAAAGGUGCCACUGGCAUUGGCUUUUAAGCCGAAAAUCGACAGAAUAUUUUUUUUCCCUAAAAUAUUUUGAUUCUUUUUUUCAAAACAUUUUUUUAAUUAAAUACAUUUUUGACCUAAUAUUUUUCUUUUCAAAUAUAAUUUCAACCAAAGAUACCACUUUUUUUUUAACCUAAUAUUUUUCUACUUUGUUCCCAUGACAGUUUUCCACAUGCAUGUUUGGACAUUUUUUUUUAAAACAAUUUUAUUUUCCCCAAAAAUCAACAGGAUUGAACAACCAGAAUAGAAUUAGAAAAGCUUCAGAUUGUUCUGCAUAUUAUUUCAUACUGCAGGAGCUCAAUGAGAAAUGGAUUUUUCAGGCCCAUUAAAAAGCCGUCACCUCCGACAUUGAAUCAUUUGAGCCUGUUCGACGAGGGCAAAGAUUAACAGACAACAACGAAUCAAUGCAAGUGAGUAAAAAGAGAGUGAGGGCCCUUUGAGUAAAUACAGACAGAGACCCAACCUCAGCAAACAAUGAUCAGUGUCGCAAUCAUCCGCUGUCACAAAGUUCAUUGCUGGGUGAUAAACAGCACCACGAGGCUUCAGAGUGGCAGCUGAAUGAAUAAAAUGUCGCCGUAAUCCAACGCUGACCUUCCUUUUUAAACAUCACAGGAAUCUCAAAAAGCACGACUGCUUUUAUUCCAAAUCUGAAUCUGACCACGAGACUCGUCUAACGGAUGAAUUCUACCACGCAGCAACAACCGCGUGUGUUCAUUCCCCCGCGACCUCACUGAGAACACGAAGCCUCUGACGGAAAACCUCAGAGUAACGGCGAUAACGGCGGAGGAAUGAGGCUGGAAUUAUCACUGCAGUGCACCGCAUCAUCAUUACUGCAAUAUGUUGAACAUAUUUGUAUUACAAGUAGGUUCAAACGUAUGCGACCUGCUUGUGUGGAAGACGGGGCGGAUGAGUCAUUGUCAUCGUGGGAUCGUUAAUAAGCCAGCUGCUGCAUUUAUGCAUGAGAGCCAACUCCGUAAAUACGAGACGAAAAGGAGCCUUGACCUCUGAAUCAUUACGCUGAGUGUGUCAUUUACGACGAAAAUAGUCGGAGAGAAACAAGAGAGACAAGCAGGUUUCACUUUUGUUCACAGAGAUUCUUUAAAAGAACCUCAAACGUGUCUCAAGGCCUCGGCACAACGUCUGUCGCUGUGAAGUCGAUCCUGCGGAGGAGCCGGAGGGAUGGAAGCGCCACUUGCGAGAGAGCAGGGUGAUGAACGCACACGCCACAGAGGAGUCGGGCGAGCGUGAGCCCUUGUGCCCCGUCCAAGGUGCUGCGAUUACUCUGAGAGCCGCAGCGUGAGGCGGGCUGAGAACGGCUCGUCCUCUGGCCGGGGCAGCGCGGCCGGGACGCCCCACCGGCACCCGCUGGUAACUUCUGCUACCCGACAUUCUACUCAGUGAGCCGAGGUCACGCACCCAAAUGAGGAUUCGUCUGAUUUAAAAUGUUAAAAUAAGAUUCUAAAAGAAGGGUUUUCACGCGUUUUGACCAUUUCUGAUGUUCUAACCCCAUUGAGUUGUUGAUAAAACGACAACGCUCUGGAUGUGGUAAAUGCACAUUGUGGAAUAGUGGCAGUUUUAAACACGUGGUCAAGAAACAACGUUAAAACCUACUGAAUGUAGGUGUGUGAAUGUGGCUACAUUCAGACAACAAAGCUGCUUGGCCAAGUUACGAAAACAUCCUGUUGGGGGUUGAAUAAGUACAGUUGUUACCAAAAUGAGAACCAUACAAAAGUGCACGUGACGCACAUGAGAGAAAAUAGUCAACGUGUGGACUUUUGCUUUAACACUUUCAAGCUCAAGUCCUGUGUUGAAUUAAAUCCUUUAAUUGUUUUAAGUGACGCUCCUGACGUCCCAGAUGUUCCCACUAACUCUUCCUCUUAUGAUGUAGUUUGCAUUUAUUUGGUAACAGCAGCUGUUCAACGCUCAUCUCCGUCUCUCGUUUUGCUUCAAUUUUAUUCCAAAGUAGCUGUAACACUGACGCACUACAGAGUCAAACUGUGCACAUCGUGUCCUUGUGACUCACAAGGCCGACACGUGACCCGAGUGCGUCCUGACCCAGCGUUGUGUUCUAGUGAGUCACGACUAAAGUAGCGCGACACAGAGAGUAACAAUGAGAAAUGCAUCAGAAUGCACUUUCUUUCUUGAACCUGAGCAGAUCCUGAAGCAAUAUGCAGGAAAGACGGGAAAUGUUGGGGUCUAUUUUUUGCACAUAAUGCACAGUGGCAGAUAAGAGAGGAGUAAUCUGAUUUAGCACAUAAUGGGGAGAGCAGGUGGUCUCCAGGGAGCUUAUUGUACUUAUCAAACACCAAUAAUGUGACGCACAAUAGCAUCAUUUCACCAGAAUUACCGUAUGGAAAAUAAAUGUCCAGAUCGGCUUGUAGAUUCGUCUGCGUAUCCGUUAAAUACCGUUUCCUUUUCAAGGUGCAUAAACGUAUGAGUCGAAGAGACGCUUUUUUCUGAUGUUUCAAAAUAGCGGCCUGUUACAUUCUACCAUUUGUUCCCCGAGAGCCGGAGACGAGGGAGGAACAAGUCAGACAAAAGACUGGUGGAGUUAAAAGGUCUAUGAAAGAAAAGACGGAGAGACUUUAAGAUACAGCUAACAGCCCAAAUCAAUCAAUGGAGCUUUUACAGUUUAUAUGCACAGCUAAUUGCACCAAAAAGGUUUAAAAAAGCAAGAGGAGAACGUCACAUGUGGCUGAGAUCUUCCUGCUGUUGUGAAUGAAAGUCAAUGCUUUUUCUUCCCAAACAAACAUGACAAUAGUCCUUUUUGAAGAGAAUUAAUGAAAAUGAUCUGCUGUCUUAGAGGCAUUUUUAAUCUAUAAUGCUGGGACAAAGGAACGUGAAAGUGUUGUUGUGCUGACAAAGGGAAGGAGGGAAGGAGAGAAGGAGAGAAGGAGGAGGAGGAGGAGAGCAACGCUCCAAUAAUGCAGCAGCAGUGAUUAGCGACACCUUUUGUAGAGUCUGUGCGAUGCCAUCAGUCCUGCUAAAGCCGAGACAAAGAUCCGAUACCGUACUCACACGGGACGAAUAACGAAUGCUUUUAGCUUUUAUUGGUGGGGGGGGGAGAGAGAGAGGAGUCAUCUGCAUGCGUCCAUUGAAGUGUGAAUGAGUGUGUGUGCUUUUUGCAAGCCUAUUUCCCGUCCAAUAACACCCUGACAUAUAAAAACUAACCCAUAAAUAAAUAGAGUCCUUCUCGGGUUUGUGAUUGUGUUUUUCAUAGUUGUUUGAUUUUGAAAGGAAAAAAGUAACAAAUACAUAUCAGCGACGUAGGGAACCUGAAGGUUUGACAAUAGACAUCCAUCAAGCUUUUGCAGGAUAGUGUCGUAUUUUCUGCAGAUAUAAAUCAUUUUCUUUCUACAUUUAUUUCCUCUGAAAUGCAAUUCAAUUUUCGUGAUAUUUCAGAACGACCAUUGCGCAAUUCUACCGUUAUUUCCUUUUAAACGUGCUCGCCGACCUAGCAACAGUAACCAGGCGGGGAGGGAGGAGAGGGAGGGGCGACGGGUCAAUUGGAGAGAUGAUUCAUGCUGUUAACCGGCCUGAACAACUGCUUGAAUCAAUCGCAGGCGGAUGGCGUGUUUACUGCUGCAUCGUUUUAAUGUGUCUGAGCUCUGAUGAGUUUAUAUUCUAAUCUAUGAACCUAAUUACCAGGCAGAAUUUCUCUGCCUGUGAUGGUGGUGGCUCAUUCUGCCCUUCACUUCAGGAAAUCGGUUCAUUAGUCCAAUGAACAGUGUUUGUUGUUCAGGGGCGAGAACACAACAAAAGAAGUUUUAUUUCUGUUCAUUCCGAGGGGAAGACGAAUGCACGGACCGAACGGCAUCCACCUCGACCCCUUUCAUCAAUGCAAACCACACCAACGGACGGACCCGCGCUGGUCGUCCCGCGUUGAUAACAACACGCCAAAGAGGAUCUCCAGCAUCAACAGCAUCCCCAAUGUUGAGGAAAGGCAGCGAGGUGUAGCGUACCUGAAGCGGUUCCCUCCGCCGCAUCAUUUACAUGGAGUGACAAGUUGCACGUGCCAAAUAUCCCUCCACAUGAAUACGCCUAGAUUUGUAUUAAAAAAAAAAAACGUAUUAGCGCAGUGGGCUCUGCUAUGAUAUGCGUUUCUAAAUCUAUUAUCUCUAGUGUAUAAUUAACUACUGCCAUGGUUGCGUUGAUUAAAUCCACUAUUUCACACUCCGUCACCGUGCUUAUGGACAUCUGCUAUCAGUUCGGUUCAGAAAACGUUCAGGUAUGAGCACCAGCUGCCUCAAUGUCUUUACAAUUUCAUUUAUAUUGGAAUGAAUCCACCCCCACACUUAAUUAGGCCAAUUCCAAUGCAAUGUUUUAAUUCUCCAGCCGUGGGAAAAUGACUUGGUGCUCUCUUUAAAUGAAGCCAACCAGAAGUCGUACCGACUGUGUGACACGUUACGUCUGAAAAGGCCGCGUUCAGCUGUCGCUUAAUUGAACCACAUCCGUCGGUAGGAACCAGAGAGCCCUCAAUUUGUUAAAAACGACCUUUUCUCUUGUUGUAAUUAAGUUUGAAUCGCACCGGCGUCCUUUAAGGUGAGAUUCCGCCUCUUUUGAAACGCUCGCCACAGAUUCACCCCGGUUACGUCCUUCUGGACGAAAUGUCGAGGGGGGGGGAGCAUCCCAUGUCACAAACACAAGGUAAGUGCUUCUGCUGCAUAUAAAUAGCAUCAUUUCACGCCAACCACCGUUGCACACCAGCGUCAUUAAACAUUGCCUCAUUGGGCGUCCCGGGCCGUGAAUGUGGGUUUAUGGACAAUAAACCGACCACCGGACGAUGUUUGCUUUGUCCGGCUGAAGAAUAACAGCAUCACGACGUUCUGAGGUUCUAGUUCUGCUUCAUCAUACGGUGAAUGACAUUUGUACACCUUUUGAAAACCUAUUGCCCAUUAGCAAAGCCCUGGCCGCCUUACUCGCUUGCUGUUGCACCGACCCCUCAAGAGUGUCUCACGGAUGGAUCGUACUUGUCGGAUGGAGGUAGACGAACUUCCAGUCCAAUCUAGAGCUGCGUGUUUAAAGUGUUAAAAGUCCUUCGCCGGAGGAUGAUGAUGAUGAUAAUCCACACGUCGGGCUUUGUUACGACGCUGCAGAGUAGAGGAAGUAACAGCAACGCUCAAGAAGUUCGGUGCACCGACCAAAACUUAGACUUGUAAAGUCGUAAAUCUCCUGAUCAAUCACUUGAACGCUAAGUGCGUUGAAAAAGAAAAGAAGGCGGGAAAGAAGACGGGGGAUCAGACGCAGGUGGGCGAGUCGUCGACCAGCCACAAGUCUGCGCCGCAGGCAGAACGUUUAAGCGUCUCGCUGAACCCCGCAUGAGUCCUGCCGCGCCUAGUUACGGUUGCUACGCUGUGAGUCCACGGCCGUCGCCCGGAUUAAUUAAUGAAAUCUGCCACUGUUCUUUUCAAGACAGAUCUGGUUGCCUGUAAGCGUGUGAAAUAAAUAAAUAGCUGCUAAAGACACACAGUGUGUGUGUGUGUGUGUGUGUCGUAUAUUCCUCUCUUCAUGACUGUACACUACUAGAGAGCACAAGUCGUGUUGCAAUCCUCAGAGAAACCUCAGGCCGAUGUGCUUCCACUGCGCUCCCUUACGUGAUUGCAUUUCCCUCUCCAACGAUUUGGACAUUUUCUUUCGCCAUUACUCAAAUCGUGGCAGAUUUGAAGUCAUCAGCAUGCGACGGCGGCGUGAACUCGGUCCGUGUGUAUUACGUUGCUGUAAUCGGAUGUCGCCAAUGAGCUUUUUUGGGGAAACAGUGUUAAAUAAUACCCGUGCUCAUUAACUGAGGCAAAAGUGCAAAAACAAGAAAGGAGCCGCGAGAAACAAUCGCAUCUAAACACAAGCAAAUCAAGCGGGCGGCCUUCAUGUCGGCUCCUCUGUUUUUCUGCUCCGCACGUGCACGAACACAGAAAGCGAGAAACAAAUUGCCUUUCUCAAUAGCCGCAACGUUGCUGCACAACAGAAUUACCUUCCGAAAGGCCAUGGGAGAGGCAAAACAAUUUCCUGACAAGUGCAAAAGACAGUGUGUGCAAAUGAGGGGGGGUUGAGAGACAAAGAAUAUUAUCAUGCACGGCCAGUGGGUUGUCUGGGAAGCUCUAAUUGGAAGUAAUUUUGCACUCAGCUCUGAUGAAGCUAAUGGAAGCAGAGGUAUGGUAUCGCAGGCUGGCACCUUUCUCUUUUGAUUAGCUUGAAUCUGCGGAAGCCGGGCGCGUCUUCUGUUGCCUCUUCAAUGCCUCUGCUGUCAGGAGCGGGAAAGGCAGCGGAGGUCAGAAUGGAGAAGUCACGACCGUCGGAAAACUGGUGACACACCGACUCCGCCACGGGCCGCGGGGAAGAUGGAACCCCAUUAUCUCCUCCCCUCCUCGUCCCUCCACACGAGGCGAAGACACGAAGACGCCUCGCAAUCAAUGGGCUUUAAUCACGUCCAUUUUCCCUCAAUGAAGAGGAGCAAAUGUCUCAAGCUCAAUUGCCUCUAAUAACAUCGAAAGGGAGCGAGAUGUUCAAAUGGGGACAGACGUAAGGGUCGUGAGUUCAUCACGCUUUAUAAUUUUACACCGCGUUGCCAUUAGGAAAGGGUCUGUGAGACGGUUUGGGCUGCAAACAUGAUCGUGCGUAAAAAGCCCCAUGAACCAGACGUGUGCUAAGUGCUAGUAAUCGCCAACGUGCAUCCAGCAGACGAGGAGCAACGUUCGCAUUCAUUCAACCCGAAUGAAAGGAAAGCUAAGAUCACAGAACACGUCUCAUUGCAUUUCCUAUCACACAUCGGCGUGAGGAGACCCAAAGCGAAGGCCUAUUUCCCCCCAAAAAAGGAGAGCUUUUGUGGGGCGUCAUACAUACAAAAAAUUAACUUGCUCUUUCAAAUGUGAUUUGCUGAAAAUGCGACGUCCAUUAAACGCACACGUUAACCUAAAAGGGUUUUAAAAAACCCAAAGCUGCAGAGUUUGCUGUCCCUGUAUCACAUGCAAAACGCAGCGUGUGGGAACCUCGGUGUGUGAACUUGCUGAGGUGCUGAGAGGGUGAACUGUGUUCAUUUCGGGACCUACUGAGAUCUUUUGAGUCUCUUUGAGUUGGCUGCAAAAACACAGCAGCGUUUAAAGGAGAGAUCGUUUGUGCGACGGCAGCAUCCUCCGUCUGCCAGCCGGCCUCCCGAGGGGCAAAUCUGUCUUCUCAGGGAAGGUCUUCUCUCCCGUGGCGAUGGAGCGCCUGGGGGAGCUCCACCAAUGCAGGAACUGCAUCACGCACCUAUUCUGAAGAGCUAUUUUCAGAUGACUGCGCGGACCAUCUUUCAAUCUAUCAAAGGCCUCUCCAAUCUUACCCGCAGGUUUUUUUUUUUUUUGCUUAUUAUCUCUGAAUGUCUCUGAAUAAAAUAUGCAGAAAAGUUCCUCUCGAGAGGCUUCAGAGGAAGCGGAGCUUGCGUUCCUCUGGGGACCUUGUGUGGCGGAGAGGAGAUGGCUCACUAGAUAUCUCUCUCUUAUCGGAUCUUAUCAGCCGAUGAGUGAUCUCGCCUCUCCAGCCGGACGCCAAAGUCGGCCUGAAGGUCGCGGCUCAGAGCUCAGAGGAUGCCGCUCUUUGACAAAGAGGCCCAAAAAAAAUCACGUUCGCACACCUGAAGCUGUUGUCGCCCUGCUGAAUAAUUCACGCGAAGAUGACGCCGCGGCGUCACUUACUCUCUCCUCCUCCGAAACCCGGACACGCCGAGCCGAAUUUUGAGUCCUUUCCAGCGAGCUGCUUUUACUUUUCUUUUCCAAUCUCUCUCGCUCUCUCAGCCUUCAUGUUGCGAGUUAUUCCCCCAAAGUGCACAAGAUUGUUAUGCCCGAGAGAGUGUCUUUCAAAGUGGUUAUGGCCCAUGCAGGACUUGUCUGGCAGUGCCAGUAAUGACGGGGAAAGGCUCCCUCUGGGGCGACUUUUCCCUCGAAAUUACCCGCCAUUACUUUUACAUCUCUCGUUCAGAUCGUCUGUUUCGUGAGUCGAGGCGUAGUCGCGCUGACCCUGGCCGACUCGUGCACGGCGUCUUCGUCCCAGGCUGGGUGACUACGCAUGUGAGAUCCAUAAUGAGGGAGACAGUGGAAGAACGGCAGAGCGAUCGCUGGGCUCUGAGGGAUCGUUGGAGCGCGAUCGC